This 71-nucleotide transfer RNA is filed under the name Stegodyphus dumicola. Its description in RNAcentral is "tRNA-Met". It matches the Rfam family "tRNA". Rfam says of the family: Transfer RNA (tRNA) molecules are approximately 80 nucleotides in length. Lineage: Eukaryota; Metazoa; Arthropoda; Arachnida; Araneae; Eresidae. The record is from RNAcentral.
GCCUUCGUGGUGUAACGGUAGCACACUCGGCGCAUAUUCGAGAAGCCCAGGUUCGAGUCCUGGUGAAGGCA